GAUGAACGCUGGCGGCGUGCCUAAUACAUGCAAGUCGAGCGAACAGAUGAGGAGCUUGCUCCUCUGACGUUAGCGGUGGACGGGUGAGUAACACGUGGAUAACCUACCUAUAAGACUGGGAUAACUUCGGGAAACCGGAGCUAAUACCGGAUAAUAUAUUGAACCGCAUGGUUCAAUAGUAAAAGACGGUUUUGCUGUCACUUAUAGAUGGAUCCGCGCCGCAUUAGCUAGUUGGUAAGGUAACGGCUUACCAAGGCAACGAUGCGUAGCCGACCUGAGAGGGUGAUCGGCCACACUGGAACUGAGACACGGUCCAGACUCCUACGGGAGGCAGCAGUAGGGAAUCUUCCGCAAUGGGCGAAAGCCUGACGGAGCAACGCCGCGUGAGUGAUGAAGGUCUUCGGAUCGUAAAACUCUGUUAUUAGGGAAGAACAAAUGUGUAAGUAACUAUGCACGUCUUGACGGUACCUAAUCAGAAAGCCACGGCUAACUACGUG
RNAcentral lists this ribosomal RNA (497 nucleotides) under uncultured bacterium. RNAcentral describes it as "partial 16S ribosomal RNA". It matches the Rfam family "Bacterial small subunit ribosomal RNA", at positions 28 to 507 of the family's 1533-position model. The record is from RNAcentral.